Molecule: ribosomal RNA, 328 nt
Filed under: uncultured Lachnospiraceae bacterium
Lineage: Bacteria; Bacillati; Bacillota; Clostridia; Lachnospirales; Lachnospiraceae
Description: partial 16S ribosomal RNA
Source: RNAcentral
GGAGUUUGGGCCGUGUCUCAGUCCCAAUGUGGCCGGUCACCCUCUCAGGUCGGCUACUGAUCGUCGCCUUGGUGGGCCGUUACCUCACCAACCAGCUAAUCAGACGCGGGCCCAUCUCAUUCUGCCGGAGCUUUUCACACUGUUCCAUGCGGAACCGUGCGCUUAUGCGGUAUUAACAGUCGUUUCCAACUGGUAUCCCCCUGAAUGAGGCAGGUUGCCCACGCGUUACUCACCCGUCCGCCACUAAGUUAUGUUUCCAUCAUCCGAAGAAUCUUUCCACAUAACUCCGUUCGACUUGCAUGUGUUAGGCACGCCGCCAGCGUUCAUC